GAUGAAGAACGCAUUGAAAUGCGAUAAGUAGUGUGAAUUGCAGAAUUCAGUGAAUCAUCGAAUCUUUGAACGCACAUUGCGCCCCUUGGUAUCCCGAGGGGCAUGCCUGUUCGAGCGUCAUUUCACCACUCAAGCCUGGCUUGGUGUUGGGCGACGUCCCCUUUGGGGACGCGCCUCGAAACGCUCGGCGGCGUGGCACCGGCUUUAAGCGUAGCAGAAUCUUUCGCUUUGGAAGUCGGGGCCCCGUCUGCCGGAAGACCUACUCGCAAGGUUGACCUCGGAUCAGGCAGGGAUACCCGCUGAACUUAAGCAUAUCAAUAAGCGGAGGA
This 329-nucleotide unclassified non-coding RNA is filed under the name soil metagenome. Its description in RNAcentral is "partial contains 5.8S ribosomal RNA, internal transcribed spacer 2, and large subunit ribosomal RNA". The stretch from base 1 to 120 matches the Rfam family "5.8S ribosomal RNA", at positions 35 to 154 of the family's 154-position model. The record is from RNAcentral.